AUGAACGCUGGCGGCGUGCCUAAUACCUGCAAGUCGAGCGCACGGACGAGAAGCUUGCUUCUCUGAUGUUAGCGGCGGACGGGUGAGUAACACGUGGAUAACCUACCUAUAAGACUGGGAUAACUUCGGGAAACCGGAGCUAAUACCGGAUAAUAUUUUGAACCGCAUGGUUCAAAAGUGAAAGACGGUCUUGCCGUCACUUAUAGAUGGAUCCGCGCUGCAUUAGCUAGUUGGUAAGGUAACGGCUUACCAAGGCAACGAUGCAUAGCCGACCUGAGAGGGUGAUCGGCCACACUGGAACUGAGACACGGUCCAGACUCCUACGGGAGGCAGCAGUAGGGAAUCUUCCGCAAUGGGCGAAAGCCUGACGGAGCAACGCCGCGUGAGUGAUGAAGGUCUUCGGAUCGUAAAACUCUGUUAUUAGGGAAGAACAUAUGUGUAAGUAACUGUGCACAUCUUGACGGUACCUAAUCAGAAAGCCACGGCUAACUACGUG
RNAcentral lists this ribosomal RNA (496 nucleotides) under uncultured bacterium. RNAcentral describes it as "partial 16S ribosomal RNA". It matches the Rfam family "Bacterial small subunit ribosomal RNA", at positions 29 to 507 of the family's 1533-position model. The record is from RNAcentral.